UACGAAGGGGGCCAGCGUUGCUCGGAAUCACUGGGCGUAAAGGGUGCGUAGGCGGGUCUUUAAGUCGGGGGGGAAAUCCUGGAGCUCAACUCCAGAACUGCCUUCGAUACUGGAAGACUUGAGUCCGGGAGAGGUGAGUGGAACUGCGAGUGUAGAGGUGAAAUUCGUAGAUAUUCGCAAGAACACCAGUGGCGAAGGCGGCUCACUGGCCCGGUACUGACGCUGAGGUGCGAAAGCGUGGGGAGCAAACAGG
Molecule: ribosomal RNA, 253 nt
Filed under: uncultured bacterium
Lineage: Bacteria
Description: partial 16S ribosomal RNA
Rfam family: Bacterial small subunit ribosomal RNA
Source: RNAcentral